UAUGAGAUAGUAUAGGGAGUACUUAGAGUUUUGAUCUCUACAGGAAAAGUUCAAGUCUUUUUCUUAUAG
This 69-nucleotide transfer RNA is filed under the name Lunella granulata. RNAcentral's name for it is "tRNA-Gln". It matches the Rfam family "tRNA". Rfam says of the family: Transfer RNA (tRNA) molecules are approximately 80 nucleotides in length. Their secondary structure includes four short double-helical elements and three loops (D, anti-codon, and T loops). Further hydrogen bonds mediate the characteristic L-shaped molecular structure. tRNAs have two regions of fundamental functional importance: the anti-codon, which is responsible for specific mRNA codon recognition, and the 3' end, to which the tRNAs corresponding amino acid is attached (by aminoacyl-tRNA synthetases). tRNAs cope with the degeneracy of the genetic code in two manners: having more than one tRNA (with a specific anti-codon) for a particular amino acid; and 'wobble' base-pairing, i.e. permitting non-standard base-pairing at the 3rd anti-codon position. The record is from RNAcentral. Lineage: Eukaryota; Metazoa; Mollusca; Gastropoda; Trochida; Turbinidae.